This 326-nucleotide unclassified non-coding RNA is filed under the name Hevea brasiliensis (rubber tree). The record is from RNAcentral. Lineage: Eukaryota; Viridiplantae; Streptophyta; Magnoliopsida; Malpighiales; Euphorbiaceae.
GGAGAGCGAGCACUCGGAUGGGUAUUUAUAGUGGGUAACAUUGGAGAAGAAGGGGAAAGUGCUUUGCUUUUAGCAGUUUUGGUUGGGAAAAUCUGGGUCGUGGAUUAUUGGAUUAUCGACGGUCAAGAAUCUGUAUGAAAGAGUUAAACGGAUUGCGAUCCGCGUGCGAUGUGACGUGGCCAAUGGGAUUGGUUUCUUGACCGGGAAAAUUGACAUUUUUGUUUAUGUUUGAAGGUUUUGGGGUUCUUUUGGGGUCGUUGAAUUCCAGCCGUCGAUAGACUGUGGAUCGACGGUUCUGCCAUCAAGGCAACAAAUGGCAUUAUUUU